Molecule: ribosomal RNA, 384 nt
Filed under: uncultured bacterium
Lineage: Bacteria
Description: bacterial SSU rRNA
Rfam family: Bacterial small subunit ribosomal RNA
Source: RNAcentral
AUUGAACGCUGGCGGCAUGCCUAACACAUGCAAGUCGAACGCGAAAGUCCUUCGGGGCGAGUAGAGUGGCGGACGGGUGAGUAAUACGUGGGAAUCUACCUGGUAGUGGGGGACAACCCGGGGAAACUCGGGCUAAUACCGCAUACGUCCUACGGGACAAAGGGGGCCUCUGCUUGCAAGCUCUCGCUACCAGAUGAGCCCACGUCCGAUUAGCUAGUUGGUAGGGUAAAGGCCUACCAAGGCGACGAUCGGUAGCUGGUCUGAGAGGAUGGCCAGCCACACUGGGACUGAGACACGGCCCAGACUCCUACGGGAGGCAGCAGUGGGGAAUAUUGGACAAUGGGCGCAAGCCUGAUCCAGCAAUGCCGCGUGUGUGAAGAAGGC